This 418-nucleotide long non-coding RNA is filed under the name Medicago truncatula (barrel medic). RNAcentral's name for it is "lncRNA gene9454". The record is from RNAcentral. Lineage: Eukaryota; Viridiplantae; Streptophyta; Magnoliopsida; Fabales; Fabaceae.
UUUUGGUAUAACUAGAUUAAAAUAUCCUGAACAAGGUUUCCUGUUCGAAUCUUGUGCUUAAAUAUUAUAUAGUUAGAAGGGAAUACCAAAUUAAAGGUGGACUAUGAUAUAUUCAGGUUAGGAUUAGUGAGGAUGUUCAAAACUGAACCAACCCAGCUGAAAAUCACAUAUCCUAAUCAACUCAAACCGAAAUUAACCACAUAGAAUACAAAUGAAUUUGGGUCUUUUUUUUUACUGGAUUGUGCAUUCCGGUUCGGUUUGCGGUUUUUAUUUUAACAACCGAACCAAACCAAAUUAAAUGCAAACGUGAUAUAUGUUUCUUAUUUAUGCAUUAUAUGUUUCUUAUUUUGAUGUAAUGCAACAUGCUAAUGGUAAAAUUAGCAAUUUAUACAUGAUUGAUACUUUUGUUUUGAUAUAA